Molecule: unclassified non-coding RNA, 286 nt
Organism: Ursus americanus (American black bear)
Lineage: Eukaryota; Metazoa; Chordata; Mammalia; Carnivora; Ursidae
Gene: 7SK
Rfam family: 7SK RNA
About the family: 7SK was discovered as an abundant small nuclear RNA in the mid-70s but a possible function has only recently been suggested. Two independent studies have found that 7SK RNA binds the CDK9/cyclin T complex (known as elongation factor P-TEFb).
Source: Ensembl
AGACGCCGGGGUGCUCCAGCUGCAAUGUCUGUCACCCCGCUGAUCGCCAGGGUUGACUCGCUGAUCUGGCUGGCUGGCGGGUGCCCCCCUGCCCCCCUCACCGCCCCACGUGCGUCCCUCCCAAAGCUGCUCGGUCGAAGGGGACGACCUUCCCUGCUGGAGCCUCCCAACCAGCUGUCCAGGCCCAUCUGUGGGAGAACGUGUUGUGAGAACGUAGGGGAGUCAAGCUUCCAAGACUCCAGACACCUCCCAAAGAGGUGCUGCCUGUGGCCAUCUGCCUUUCAAA